Molecule: ribosomal RNA, 1635 nt
Filed under: Escherichia coli
Lineage: Bacteria; Pseudomonadati; Pseudomonadota; Gammaproteobacteria; Enterobacterales; Enterobacteriaceae
Description: partial 23S ribosomal RNA
Rfam family: Bacterial large subunit ribosomal RNA
Source: RNAcentral
GAGAUUCCCCCAGUAGCGGCGAGCGAACGGGGAGCAGCCCAGAGCCUGAAUCAGUAUGUGUGUUAGUGGAAGCGUCUGGAAAGGCGCGCGAUACAGGGUGACAGCCCCGUACACAAAAAUGCACAUGCUGUGAGCUCGAUGAGUAGGGCGGGACACGUGGUAUCCUGUCUGAAUAUGGGGGGACCAUCCUCCAAGGCUAAAUACUCCUGACUGACCGAUAGUGAACCAGUACCGUGAGGGAAAGGCGAAAAGAACCCCGGCGAGGGGAGUGAAAAAGAACCUGAAACCGUGUACGUACAAGCAGUGGGAGCACGCUUAGGCGUGUGACUGCGUACCUUUUGUAUAAUGGGUCAGCGACUUAUAUUCUGUAGCAAGGUUAACCGAAUAGGGGAGCCGAAGGGAAACCGAGUCUUAACUGGGCGUUAAGUUGCAGGGUAUAGACCCGAAACCCGGUGAUCUAGCCAUGGGCAGGUUGAAGGUUGGGUAACACUAACUGGAGGACCGAACCGACUAAUGUUGAAAAAUUAGCGGAUGACUUGUGGCUGGGGGUGAAAGGCCAAUCAAACCGGGAGAUAGCUGGUUCUCCCCGAAAGCUAUUUAGGUAGCGCCUCGUGAAUUCAUCUCCGGGGGUAGAGCACUGUUUCGGCAAGGGGGUCAUCCCGACUUACCAACCCGAUGCAAACUGCGAAUACCGGAGAAUGUUAUCACGGGAGACACACGGCGGGUGCUAACGUCCGUCGUGAAGAGGGAAACAACCCAGACCGCCAGCUAAGGUCCCAAAGUCAUGGUUAAGUGGGAAACGAUGUGGGAAGGCCCAGACAGCCAGGAUGUUGGCUUAGAAGCAGCCAUCAUUUAAAGAAAGCGUAAUAGCUCACUGGUCGAGUCGGCCUGCGCGGAAGAUGUAACGGGGCUAAACCAUGCACCGAAGCUGCGGCAGCGACGCUGAUGCGUUGUUGGGUAGGGGAGCGUUCUGUAAGCCUGCGAAGGUGUGCUGUGAGGCAUGCUGGAGGUAUCAGAAGUGCGAAUGCUGACAUAAGUAACGAUAAAGCGGGUGAAAAGCCCGCUCGCCGGAAGACCAAGGGUUCCUGUCCAACGUUAAUCGGGGCAGGGUGAGUCGACCCCUAAGGCGAGGCCGAAAGGCGUAGUCGAUGGGAAACAGGUUAAUAUUCCUGUACUUGGUGUUACUGCGAAGGGGGGACGGAGAAGGCUAUGUUGGCCGGGCGACGGUUGUCCCGGUUUAAGCGUGUAGGCUGGUUUUCCAGGCAAAUCCGGAAAAUCAAGGCUGAGGCGUGAUGACGAGGCACUGCGGUGCUGAAGCAACAAAUGCCCUGCUUCCAGGAAAAGCCUCUAAGCAUCAGGUAACAUCAAAUCGUACCCCAAACCGACACAGGUGGUCAGGUAGAGAAUACCAAGGCGCUUGAGAGAACUCGGGUGAAGGAACUAGGCAAAAUGGUGCCGUAACUUCGGGAGAAGGCACGCUGAUAUGUAGGUGAAGUCCCUCGCGGAUGGAGCUGAAAUCAGUCGAAGAUACCAGCUGGCUGCAACUGUUUAUUAAAAACACAGCACUGUGCAAACACGAAAGUGGACGUAUACGGUGUGACGCCUGCCCGGUGCCGGAAGGUUAAUUGAUGGGGU